GAUGAAGAACGCAGCGAAAUGCGAUAAGUAAUGUGAAUUGCAGAAUUCAGUGAAUCAUCGAAUCUUUGAACGCUCAUUGCGCCCCCUGGUAUUCCGGGGGGCAUGCCUGUCCGAGCGUCAUUACAACCCUCAAGCUCAGCUUGGUGUUGGGCCCCGCCGCCCCGGCGGGCCCUAAAGUCAGUGGCGGUGCCGUCCGGCUCCGAGCGUAGUAAUUCUUCUCGCUCUGGAGGUCCGGUCGUGUGCUCGCCAGCAACCCCCAAUUUUUUUCAGGUUGACCUCGGAUCAGGUAGGGAUACCCGCUGAACUUAAGCAUACAAUAAGCGGAGGA
Molecule: unclassified non-coding RNA, 328 nt
Filed under: soil metagenome
Description: partial contains 5.8S ribosomal RNA, internal transcribed spacer 2, and large subunit ribosomal RNA
Rfam family: 5.8S ribosomal RNA (bases 1-120)
Source: RNAcentral